Molecule: long non-coding RNA, 496 nt
Filed under: Sinocyclocheilus grahami
Lineage: Eukaryota; Metazoa; Chordata; Actinopteri; Cypriniformes; Cyprinidae
Description: lncRNA (ENSSGRG00000019380.1)
Source: RNAcentral
UUUUCUCAUUUUCACUUUCCAUUGUCUGGCGUCCCCUUCCCACAGCAUCCUUUAGGGGCGCAAAAACGCCGUUUGGCAUCCCCCCGAAACUACACUGAGAGCAGGAAAAAAGUGACGCACUCACUGGGCUAUUUACACGGCCGCGUAUUUUUGUGAUGAGAGGACGUGCCACCACAAUGAGACUCUAUGAAGAGACAGCAGAUUAGGACAUUUCCUCUAAAAUGAGUCAACAAGAGGAGAGAGAGGAGGACACUGCCUCUAUAAACUGUGAUCAACCCAUGAAGAGUCAGCCCUCUGCCUUCAGUGACGCAGAAAUUACCUCUGAGCCCAACAUCACAAGGAGGAAGAGACAGAGAUCAGAGUCUCCAGAACUCAGUGGUGUGUCUGUGAAGAGUGACAGGUCUAUGGAGAAACCCCCUAUAUUCAGUGAUUCAGCAGUGACCUCUGGCUCUCCGUUAGUAUAAACAUUUACUUGCUACUUUAUAUUGUGCAUCUC